CCCUUAGAUGUUCUGGGCCGCACGCGUGCUACACUGAUGCAUUCAACGAGUCUAAAACCUGGUCUGAUAGGGCUGGGUAAUCUUUUGAAAGUGCAUCGUGAUUGGGAUAGAUGAUUGCAAUUCUUCAUCUUCAACGAGGAAUGCCUAGUAAACGCAAGUCAUCAGCUUGCAUUGAUUACGUCCCUGCCCUUUGUACACACCGCCCGUCGCUCCUACCGAUUGAAUGAUCCGAUGAAUACCAUGGAUUGAGAGUACGAAUAGGUUCGCUUAUUUCUGCUUCUCGAGUAGUGGAGUAAAUCUUAUCAUUUAGAGGAAGGAGAAGUCGUAACA
Molecule: ribosomal RNA, 330 nt
Filed under: uncultured eukaryote
Lineage: Eukaryota
Description: partial 18S ribosomal RNA
Rfam family: Eukaryotic small subunit ribosomal RNA
Source: RNAcentral